GAAUGUUAUGCAGGGCUCGCUGCUAAACCAGUGAGCAGUGUAGCUCAGGAUUCAGUCAUUAGACCUCUUACAACCUCAUCUUUGUUUUACAAAAAGCAUUCUUUCAGUCUGAAAACUGAAAUAUUCAGACUGUAUGUUUUAUGUUAAUUCUUAAGGUGGUUUUAUAGGUUAGAGCAGCGGUCCCCAACCUUUUUUGCGCCACGGACCGGUUUAUGCCCGACAAUAUUUUCACGGACCGGCCUUUAAGGUGUCGCGGAUAAAUACAACAAAAUAAAACUAGUACCGGUACCGAAAAAAAGAAGAUUUAUUCAUAACACACGUGAAAAGACCCAGGAAAACCGAGUUAACGAUAAAAACGAUAACAAAAUAACGCUGAAAACCGAUAAAAACCCUGAAAAACAUACAUUUCACACCUGAGCCUCAACUCUCGCGGCCCGGUACCAAACGACUCACGGACCGGUACCGGUCUGAGGCCCGGGGGUUGGGGACCGCUGGGUUAGAGGGCAUUUGAGUGGCGGGUUGUUUCAGGACUAUACAGUAUCUCUUUUGAGGAGAGAAUUUACCUCUUAUUGUUUUGUAAAAAAACAACUUUAUUAUAUCUUUUAUCUGAAUGUUUUUUAUUUAUCCAAAGUUUUAUUAUGCAGAAUAAUCUUAUUAUUUAUGAAUUGGGGGGGGUUCUUAACUUGCUUGCUUUUCAUUAAAAGAGCUGGAAACCUCGUGAUGAACGAGAUGCACAGGUGUCACUGUAGACGUUAAAUUCAUGUCAAACAUGCCAAAAAUUCCACAUUCAAUCAAAGAAGUAAUAUUUAACAAAACAGAGCAAUCAGUGAGACAAAAACAUUGCCUUCAGUCAACAACUGUUUUUAUUCUGAGCUAUGUGUUUGUUUCUUUCUAACAAACGGCUGCUGAAUGUUACUGUACUGUAAUGGCAUUUUAUUUAUGUAUGUGUGUGUAUAUCUAUAUAUAUAUAUAUAUAUAUAUAUAUAUAUGCAUGAGACAAACGUGACAUAUCAGAAGGAUUUCAUUCCAAAACGCAACCUGUUUUUAACAAUGUGGGGCAGCUGGACGGGUGAGUGGUUAGGACACGUGCACUACAUGGAUAAAAGUAGUGGAGCAGCCAUGGAAACCAAAGCCAUGUUUGGAGUUUGACCUUCUGUCAUUCUCAAACACUUCCUCCACUUACAGCUGAUUGUGGGAUAUCUAUGAUAGAAGAAAUGUCACAAACUGCGGCUGUGGCGUCCUGUUACUGCACCAAGCUCAAUUUCAGUGAGCUCUCUCCAACAGCACGUUCUUUCGGAAAUCUUUGUAAAGACAGACGGCAUGGCUAGCUGCUUUAAUUCAACAGUACAGACUUACUCCCAAUACUUUUGUCCAUGUAGUGUAACCUUAAAUCCUUCCACAGCUGCAUGCUGUAAUUUCCCAGCUCCCUCUCUUAUAUUUCCUGUCUAUCUCUGGAAAAAAGGCAGAAAAUGUUUAAUAAAAGAUCAACAAUUAUACUAAAAUGCCCUGAAAUACUGCAGAACUGAAACUGUAAGCUGGAUGUCUCAUUUUGGAAUGAAUAUACUGUUCUACUUGAAUAUCAGCUCUAAGAUGUACGUUAUUUCCUCGAAGUAUUGUAGCUUAAAAGAAUCUCUGUUCUGAAAAAAUUAAAAAUAUUUGACCUGCAGCACAAUUUUCAAACACUGUAAGUUAUGUGUGGUUGUUGAGUCACUGCGGUGUCUGAGCAGUCAGGUGGUUUGGCUGCACCAUCCUGAGGAAGAUGAGCGGCGCUUUGGGUGCAGGAUGAAGUGGAGGGAGGCUCAUCUGUCUGUUUACCCUGCAGGCACCAGGUGAUCUGUCUUUUCCAGCUCGG
Long non-coding RNA from Oreochromis aureus, 1852 nucleotides. The record is from Ensembl. Lineage: Eukaryota; Metazoa; Chordata; Actinopteri; Cichliformes; Cichlidae.